Molecule: long non-coding RNA, 1527 nt
Filed under: Sorghum bicolor (sorghum)
Lineage: Eukaryota; Viridiplantae; Streptophyta; Magnoliopsida; Poales; Poaceae
Description: long non-coding RNA (SBIC_LNC004365)
Source: RNAcentral
GCUUGUUUGUUCAGCCGCUUUCAAUCCAAGAGAUCCAUUUCAUGAUUUUGAUUUCGAGAGUUUGAUAAACUUAAUAAAGUUAUAUCCCGAUGAUUUCAACUUAGGAGAUCUGAGGGAUCUUAGACGCUACCUUGGCCUCUACAUUGUUGAUGUGAGAUAAUACAAUUAUUUCUCCUACAUAAAUAUUGUCAGUGAGCUUUCACAAAAAAUGGUGCAGACAAGUAGAAAAGGUCUUUGUUAUCCACUGGUUUAUGGACUGUAAUACCCGAUUUUAAGGACAAAACCAGAUAUACACUGUAUGUGAGUCUUAGAAGCCAAAUCUCACAUAUAGCUACAAAUAAGGGGUAAUAUCAAAAGACAAUGCACAAAUAUAUAACGUACUUAAUAUAAAAGAUGUAACCUUUGAUAGCAAACAGCGGAUAGACGACUCCAAACUUCGGGUAUUAACUUCUCUCUAUAGGGUCCAACUGACUCAUUGAUCACAAGCCUAAACUUCUCCUGAGGUUUGGGGUAAAUAGCAAGAGUGAGUCCAUGUCGAACUCCACAAGUAUAGCAACUAUAUUGUAUAGCUCCCACAAUCUCAUGAUCAAAGUGACAUAAAUAAUGUAAAGCAUUAAAUAAUAAAUAAUGAGCAUAUUUAACACACAAAAAUCAUCACCGUCGAUGCAAGAAUCCCCAAGGCCGCUCUUGACCGUGAGCACGGCUAGUAUACUAGUUUUUAACACUCUGCAGAGGUUGUACAUUUUUACCCAUGAGUCAUGAUUUACCCUUUCGCCCGAGGUGAUCAGCCUCUUAACCCACUACCAAGGAAGGUCGGCAGGGAUCACUAUGAAGCCUUUCAAAAGUUCAUCUAACAUGUUAGGGCCGCAAGGUUUCCUUUGCGCGCAGAUAUAGAUAUCCCCUUCCAAAUGGCACAAUGACAGGCAGCCUAUACACAUAAGGACAGGGGCUCGCACUAUACCCAAAACGGUUCAGCCCCUCCGCUCUUUUGGGUAACCUCUAACAAGCUAGAAAAGGUCUUCAUACUGAGCUAAAGCCAAAGCCAUUAUAGCCCUCAUGGUUGCACUGUUGUCCCGGUUAUCACUUACAUCAAGUGGCUAAAAAGUCAUUUUUAUCAUUUAUUACUUAACAUUAAUCUAGUCACAGGAUCAUGGUCACAGAAACAAAAUUCCAAAUGCUAUACUUGCCUUAGUCCAAAUGCUAUACUUGAUCCUGCUGGUCUUACUAGUUGUCCAAGGCUCUGAUCUUGAUCACUGAAGCACUCUUGUUCACCACAGAUUGCUCACCGUCUAAACUCGAUCAUCGAUCACCAACACAUAACAAUCGAAGACAAACAUACACGAAGCAAACAAGACUACAAUUAGAACAGUACACCAAUCAUAUAAAAACAGUAUAGAGAGUUCAUAAAAAGAUUCUACACAGCUCUACGAUAUCACAGACGUAAAGAUCACGAAAAUCGGAGCUAAAACGGAGAAGUUAUGAAUUUUCUAAGAUUUUAUAUAGAAAAAUAAUUAAGUAAUUAGGGUC